AUUGAACGCUGGCGGCAUGCUUUACACAUGCAAGUCGAACGGCAGCGCGGGCUUCGGCCUGGCGGCGAGUGGCGAACGGGUGAGUAAUACAUCGGAACGUGCCCAGUAGUGGGGGAUAGCUCGGCGAAAGCCGGAUUAAUACCGCAUACGACCUGAGGGUGAAAGCGGGGGAUCUUCGGACCUCGCGCUAUUGGAGCGGCCGAUGGCAGAUUAGCUAGUUGGUGGGGUAAAGGCCUACCAAGGCGACGAUCUGUAGCUGGUCUGAGAGGACGACCAGCCACACUGGGACUGAGACACGGCCCAGACUCCUACGGGAGGCAGCAGUGGGGAAUUUUGGACAAUGGGCGAAAGCCUGAUCCAGCAAUGCCGCGUGUGUGAUGAAGGCCUUCGGGUUGUAAAGCACUUUUGGCGGGAACGAAAAGGACUGUGCCAAUACCACGUUUCGAUGACGGUACCCGCAGAAUAAGCACCGGCUAACUACGUG
This 484-nucleotide ribosomal RNA is filed under the name uncultured bacterium. Its description in RNAcentral is "partial 16S ribosomal RNA". It matches the Rfam family "Bacterial small subunit ribosomal RNA", at positions 29 to 507 of the family's 1533-position model. The record is from RNAcentral.